ACCGCAAAAGACACUGCAUGAAAACAAACCAAGCAAGCAAACAAACAAAGAAGAAGUGGAUACUCCGCAGUCUAAGAAAAUCUGAUAUAGAAGGGGGCUUCACACAGGACCAAACUAUCCCAGAAGAUACCUGUGGAGAAUGCAAAUAAAUAUGUCUUCUUUGAGAUAUGGUCACGUUGCAGAGCCUACAGGAAAAAAUCUGAGCAGGACUGUGCCUCUUCUAACAGUAUAUUCUGGUACUUGAUUCUCCAGAUAUUAUAUGGUACCAUCUUGAAUUUGCUGUAUGAACAUUGGUUGCUAUGGAAAUAAUCAUCUCCUAAAUUCAGCAUUACUGAUUUUGGUUAAUAUGGGAAUGCUUGAGUGUGGCUCCUCUUCAGAUCGGAGCUGUACCCCUAUGAUAAGGUUCUGUGUUGAGGAAUGGCUCCACAGCCAAGGGGGCCAUGGGUCUCUUGAACGGCUGUACGAGCAGGACAGGCCUAAUAGUUGGCAGGAGAUACAAGUGGAAAAGUACUAGCUUGCUAUGCUAUGAUGGCUCAGGGAGCAAGAACUUGCUGAGCUCAGGUGCUACGUGCGCAACUCAAGCUAGAAGACCUUGAGGCUAUGAAAGCACAAAGAAGAAGCUGAGGCUGCAGCUAAGAUAAGGGGGAAGCUCGCCUGGGAAGAGACUGAGUAAUGGAAUACAAAGAACAAUGCGAUGAUUAAUGCUGUAUCUGUAGCUAGGCGAGCGAGGUGUGUGACUCCACGGCCAAUGGUAUUGUAGGGCCAGGGGCUCUCGCAAUGCUUCAACCAAUUAUAAGAUGACAUGCUUUUGCCAGGAUCUAUAUAUGUGUGUAAGCAACGGAUAAUAAACGGAGAUUCUGAUGCA
Molecule: long non-coding RNA, 865 nt
Organism: Gallus gallus (chicken)
Lineage: Eukaryota; Metazoa; Chordata; Aves; Galliformes; Phasianidae
Exons: 2
Source: RefSeq, a predicted model, not a curated record